GGUCACUAGGGUGGGCCUUAACCCAAGAAAACCGGUGUCCCUCUCAAGAGAGCAGAAGACAGACACACAGAGACAAGGCAGCGGCCAGCGGAGCAGCCAUGAGCCAGGGAGCACUGGGGCACCAGAGGCUGAGCGUGGCAGGGAGGAGCCUCCCAAGGCUACCGAGGGAGCACGGCCUGCAGACACCUCGAGAUGGGCCUUCCAGACUCCAGAACUGGCUGCUGGAAAGAUCUGCUGGCAGCCAGCUCAGCAGCGGAUAGGUUAGGAUGGCCGGACAGUGAUCGGUGAUGUGGCUUCAGCAAAAUGUGAACUUGGCUGCCUUUUCUUCAAAUCUGCAAAACAGAAACCAUGAAAUCUCUCCUUUUUCUCAAGAAAUGUGUAUAAAAUAAAUAUAGCAAGUUCAUAAUUUUCAUUAAACAUUUAAGUCCCUCAGAAAGAGUAGAUGAAUCCCUGGUUUCCACAGUGAGGACAAAGCUGAGAAAUAAGUUGGUCACUUGGGAUCUGUGAAGUCUGGGCUGGACAGACACUGAAUUAGGUGCCUGAGACCUAGAAGUAGACACAGCAGCUCUGGGCCGUGAGCAGCCGUGAGCAGCCGUGAGCAGCCAUGAGCAGCCAGCUUUGUGCUCCCAGGAGACCCUGGCUCUGAAGAACCAGAAGGCAACAGGUUUCUCUUGGGGAGGUCAUUCUCCAGGCCAAGGAGAGGCUGCCUGGCUUUUUCGUGGAGACUGCGUAUAACAGAAAUACUCCUCCUGGGCCGGUGUUCUAGGAGGGCCAAAGGCAAGUCCCUUCCUCCUACUCGGACCUAGGAGCCCCCACCUGAUGUGACUCAUGCCUGAGGCGGACGCCAGCAGCCUCUCCAGGCAUCCGAAGACAUUUGGGGGGUCCACUUCCCAGGAGCAGCCCCUCCAGCGCCUCUCUCGGCCUGUGUGAUGUUUUCUGAAGAAAGAUGCCUUUUGAUCUAAGGGCGGGGGCGCUGAGAUCUCUCCAUGUCCUCCUUCCAGCCACCUCUGCUCUCUCUCUGCAUCCUGGUGCAGAGCUGUGGGCACCGCGUGGCAUUGGUCAACUGGCAGGGAGCAUCCACUCACAAGAGCAUCUAGACCUGUUGGUCCAUCUCCACUUGGUCAUUCCAUGGGAAGCACCCACUCACUAGAUGUACUAUUCCGUUUUAAUGCUGCUGAUAAAAAUAUGCCUGAGACUGGGAGGAAAAUGAAGUUUAAUUGGACUUACAGUUCAUCAUGGCUGGGGAGCCUCAGAAUCAUGGCAGGAGGUGAAAGACAUUUCUUACAUGGUGGCAGCAAGAGAAAAAUGAGGAAGAAGCAAAAGCAGAAACCCCUAAUAAACCCAUUAGGUCUUGUGA
Molecule: long non-coding RNA, 1357 nt
Organism: Pan troglodytes (chimpanzee)
Lineage: Eukaryota; Metazoa; Chordata; Mammalia; Primates; Hominidae
Exons: 3
Source: RefSeq, a predicted model, not a curated record